RNAcentral lists this unclassified non-coding RNA (204 nucleotides) under plant metagenome. RNAcentral's name for it is "partial contains small subunit ribosomal RNA, internal transcribed spacer 1, and 5.8S ribosomal RNA". The record is from RNAcentral.
UCUCCGUAGGUGAACCUGCGGAGGGAUCAUUACCAGAGAUGGCGGGCUCCGGCCCCCGUCCCCAACCCUUUGUUGACCAAAACCCUUUUGCCUCGGGGGCAGAGCGUCCGCUGCCGCCCCCGGAGGACCACCGAACGCUGUCUCUGUACGUCGGAGUAUUGAUUAAAUGAAUAAAAACUUUCAACAACGGAUCUCUCGGUUCUG